UUAAACUGAAGAGUUUGAUCAUGGCUCAGAUUGAACGCUGGCGGCAGGCCUAACACAUGCAAGUC
RNAcentral lists this ribosomal RNA (65 nucleotides) under Vreelandella alkaliphila. Its description in RNAcentral is "partial 16S ribosomal RNA". It matches the Rfam family "Bacterial small subunit ribosomal RNA", at positions 1 to 63 of the family's 1533-position model. The record is from RNAcentral. Lineage: Bacteria; Pseudomonadati; Pseudomonadota; Gammaproteobacteria; Oceanospirillales; Halomonadaceae.